GUAGGGUGCAAGCGUUAAUCGGAAUUACUGGGCGUAAAGCGUGCGCAGGCGGUUUUGUAAGUCUGUCGUGAAAGCCCCGGGCUCAACCUGGGAAUUGCGAUGGAGACUGCAAGGCUUGAAUCUGGCAGAGGGGGGUAGAAUUCCACGUGUAGCAGUGAAAUGCGUAGAGAUGUGGAGGAACACCGAUGGCGAAGGCAGCCCCCUGGGUCAAGAUUGACGCUCAUGCACGAAAGCGUGGGGGGAGCAAACAGGAUUAGAUACCCUGGUAGUCCACGCCCCUAAACGAUGUCUACUAGUUGUCGGGUUUUAAUUAACUUGGUAACGCAGCUAACGCGUGAAGUAGACCGCCUGGGGAUACGGUCGCAAGAUUA
RNAcentral lists this ribosomal RNA (371 nucleotides) under uncultured organism. RNAcentral describes it as "partial 16S ribosomal RNA". It matches the Rfam family "Bacterial small subunit ribosomal RNA", at positions 527 to 896 of the family's 1533-position model. The record is from RNAcentral.